Molecule: non-coding RNA, 29 nt
Filed under: Rattus norvegicus (Norway rat)
Lineage: Eukaryota; Metazoa; Chordata; Mammalia; Rodentia; Muridae
Source: RNAcentral
UACCAAUCGCACUAGAAAAGUAUGGAGAA